This 17354-nucleotide long non-coding RNA is filed under the name Populus trichocarpa (black cottonwood). RNAcentral's name for it is "long non-coding RNA (PTRI_LNC000666)". Lineage: Eukaryota; Viridiplantae; Streptophyta; Magnoliopsida; Malpighiales; Salicaceae. The record is from RNAcentral.
UUUUUUACCUGCUACUAAUUUCUUUUUGUUGGGCAUGUCUACACGUGCUCAACGCAUCCGUUCUACUUCGCCGGAAGUCCGGUUGCACCGUCCUCCCACCUGGCCCUCGCCAAUUGCAGAUAAUUGGAAACAUAUUAGCCCUCGGUGACAAGCCCCACCGAACACUUGCUAAACUCUCACAAACUUAUGGACCUUUAAUGACCCUCAAGCUUGGUAGGAUAACCACAAUAGUCAUCUCCUCUCCGAAUAUUGCCAAAGAAGCAUUACAGAAACAUGACCAAGCCUUGUCUAGCAGAACAGUCCCAGAUGCUCUUCGUGUACACCACAGAAACUCAAUCUUAUGGUUGCCUGCGUCGACUCAUUGGAAAUUUCUCAGAAAACUCACUGCCACACAAAUGUUCACUUCGCAAAGGCUUGAUGCCAGCCAAGCCCUCCGUGGAAAGAAAGCUCAAGAAAUGCUAGAAUAUGUUCAUGAAAAUUGCAACAACGGACACGCUGUUGACAUUCGUCGAUCUGUUUUCACAACUUCCCUUAAUUUAAUUUCAAACACCUUCUUCUCUCUUGAUAUAGCCAAUUACAAUUCUGAUUUGUCUCAAGAAUUCAGCGAUCUCGUGGUUGGUGUCACGGAACAAAUUGGCAAGCCAAAUAUUGCCGACUAUUUCCCAAUACUUCGAUUAGUAGAUCCACAAGGUGUAAGACGAAAGACGAAUAAUUAUUUGAAAAGAUUAACUCAAAUUUUUGAUAGUAUCAUCAACGAGAGGACACGACCACGUUCUUCUUCGGUUGCAUCCAAGGCAAGCCAUGAUAUACUUGAUGCCCUGCUGAUUCUAGCCAAAGAAAACAAUACUGAAUUGAGCUCCACUGACAUACAGGUUUUGCUUAUUGUAAGUAUUGAGAUUAGAUUAUCUAAUUGAUAAUUAUGACCAAGUUUUUCUGCACACUAAACUUCAGUUCAGAAAUUAAUUGUCUUACGUGUUUACAUCAGGAUUUUUUCAUUGGGGGCACUGACACUACCUCAAGCACAGUAGAGUGGGCAAUGACAGAGUUAUUACUGAACCCUGAUAAAAUGGUCAAAGCCAAAAAUGAGCUCCAACAAGUCGAAGGACCAGUUCAAGAAUCAGACAUCUCCAAGUGUCCUUACCUUCAAGCAAUAGUCAAAGAGACAUUUCGGCUGCACCCACCAGUUCCACUCCUGCUGCCCCGUAAAGCCGUAUCCGAAGUAGAGAUGCAAGGCUUCACAGUGCCAAAAAAUGCUCAAAUACUAAUCAAUAUUUGGGCAAUAGGAAGAGAUCCAGCCAUAUGGCCAGAUCCUAAUUCGUUCAAGCCUGAAAGGUUCCUAGAAUGCCAAGCUGACGUGAAAGGAAGAGAUUUUGAGCUAAUUCCAUUUGGAGCAGGAAGAAGGAUUUGCCCUGGAUUGCCUUUGGGCCACAAGAUGGUGCAUUUGACGUUGGCAUCUCUCAUCCACUCUUUUGAUUGGAAGAUUGCUGAUGACUUGACACCAGAGGAUAUAGACAUGAGUGAAACGUUUGGGCUUACAUUACAUAAGAGUGAGCCUCUCCGGGCUAUACCCAUGAAAACGUGAACUUAUUUCUCUGCAAUGUUACCAUGGCCUCUGGGACGAGGUAUGAGAUAUUACGCUCUAUUCCCAUUGCUGGAUUUGGACAGGUACGCCUUGUAACUAACCGGGAGAACUGUUUCCCGAAAUUAGAAAUAUAAAAUAAAAAACAGAGCUGUCCAAAUUUUAGAUUUAAUGUAGAUUGGUGGUUUUAGAUGUCGAUCGUAUUGGUUGUAGUAAAGGCUCUAUUUGUGGGUUAUGCGUUGUUAAUUGGAUGAUAAUUCAUUGGUUGUAGUAAAGUUUUUGGGGUUUUUAUUUGUGGGUUAUGCGUUGUUAAUUGGAUGAUAAAUCAGCUAGCAACUUUUGAUGAUUUUCAAUUUUAAUGACAAGAAAAAAUUUCCGCCCCCCUGCCUUCACAUUUGUUUCUUUGGUAUGCCUGCCGCGGUAUAAUUUGGUAGAUGAAAGAGUAAAACCUAGUUAUACUUUUCGUAUUGGGCUUUUACUGUGAUACAGAAUUUCUAAGAACAUGAAAUUCAAACAUCACAGCGAGUCUGGGUAAAACAUGGUCUGGACGUCAUCAGUUUCGAAAUACAGUUUUUCUUUUGGCUUGGCGGGAUUCAUCCGCAGAUAUUGUUGGACGAAACUGCUGAAGCAACUGUGGAUGCAACCAUGGAAGAUGCUGAUUUAUUUAUCUGCACGUGGGUCAGGGAGCUCAUCGUCAGCCCUGUCCUCAAACACGUAAUCGACCACGAUGUCGCAUCAGUUCAAACUGUAUUGUUUUAUGUUUAGAGAAAAAUGAAAAAAUGGAAAUCAUUUUCAAAUCAAACCAGUUCUAGGAUAGUCUUUACACAUUUGAACACUUUUGAAUUAUCAUGAAAAAACUUGGUGACACUUUUCUGAUUUCUUCUAGAUUUAAUGGCUUCCAUUUCUUUCUGAAGUAACACCAUCAUGAUGCAAAAGAUUUGUUUCUCAAUUAUCGUUAAUUGAGAAAAAGCUCAUUCCUGGAAUACCUAUAUUAUCACUAUGGAACCACAUUUUGAAAAUGUAUCUACAAUCGACUUGGCAAUACCUGUAUCAAACACCUUAAACCAUGUUUUCUUUGUAUAUCCAUGGAUCAAGCUGCAAACUUGAUUUCCUUAUAGUCGAAUUUGUAGGCCAUCCAUCUUCCGAUUCUUCUUCGAUUAUGAAGUACCAAACCCAACUUCUUUUUACUUGAAGCAAAAAGGACUGGCUUUUUUCUUUUUAAGGUUCAACUGGCUUCUAGAAAAGGAAAAGCACUGGGAAGAGCAGCCUAUGCAGGUGAGGGCAAUCAAGGCUUUAGGAAAAGGGUUUGAUUUGAGUAGUGAUUUCGGAUUGAAAUUUGAAAAAAUAAUGAGCAGUAAUAACGAAAGGCUGGUGCUUUUGGAUGAGAAUAACAGAAGGAAGGUUGUGUUUCUGAGGGCCCUACUGUUUCCAAGUAACUAAAUUUAUCUCAGGCAUUUCAUCAAAUAGAAGCAUAGCAUCACCUGAAACCCCCAUUUAAAAGAGCAGUUUGUACAUAAACAUGACAUUAAAAACCCACUUUGAAUGUGAGACCAUGAAGAAAAUCACCAGCUAGUGGUGGUGGUGGAGGCUUUGUUGAUGGUGGUGGUGGAAUGUCCUUAACAAAACUAACUUCCCAACUGACUAUAGCCACCUAACUAACUAACAAUCACGUGUGAAAAUAAAAAAUCCAAAUAACUAACUGCAUUAGUUGUUGCCGCUAGUUCUAGCUUUCUGUCUUCAAUACAAGAAUUCGUGCUAAAAUCUAGAAAUUGCUCAUUCAAUUCUUUCGAACCUUCCCCUGUUGCAUCCUCUUGAAACAGAUGGAACCAUUUGACCAGUCCCAUUACCACAUCUUUAUUACCCGUCUUCAUGAUUUUUCUAUCCAAAAUUGCCACUAGUUGCACCUUGAAACGACCAUGCUCAUCCAUCCUUGGUAAUUCUAUAGCCACUACAGCACUACCUCCCACCUUUUUCUUAAGAAAUGAGACACGAAACACUGGCAAUUAUAGCUUGUAGGCUAUUGGCCCAACCUUUUGUAUAAUUAUAAAAGGGCUAUGAAACCUGGGAUUCAGCUUGAUGCUCCUUAAAGCUACACCUGUUUGUCUAUAAGGUUGUAGCUUAAGAAAUACUUGGUCUCUUAGUUGAAAUUCCCUUUCGAACCUGUUUUUGUCUGUGAUCUGUUUCAUUCUAUGUUUGGCUGCCUCAAGCUGAGUCUUUAACACUUGAUCCAUGUCGAAUCUUUGUUGAGUCAUAUCUUUCAUAACAGCUACUACAGUAACUUCUUGUGCAAUUAGCUCUCUUCUGGGAGGAUGAUAGCCAUACAAGGCUUUGAUUAAUGGACUCAUCCUUAUAGAAUAAUGAUAACAUAAAUUGCACCACCGUUAAGCUAAUCAUAGCCAAUAAAUUCAUUUCUUAGGAUUAUGCAUAGUCAUGUAUCUCAAGUAAAUCUUCAAACACUGAUUGACUUGCUCAGAUUGGCCAUUAGUUUGAGGAUGAUAAGAGAAGCUUAUUAGCAGCUUGACCCCUGGUAGUAUAAACAAUUCUUUACAAAAUAAACUUGUGAAAAUCAUAUCUCUAUCAAUAACAAUAAAAGUUAAUAAUCCAUGGAACUUAUAGAAAUGAUCCAAAAAUAGUUGAGUAACAUCCUGAGCUGUGAAAGGAUGUUUAAGAGUAAUAAAUGCCCAUGCUUGAUGAAUUUGUCAAUGAUCACCAAUAUGGUAACCUUCCUUUGUGAUUAUGGAAAUCCCUCUAUAAAAUCCAUUGCAAUGUUUCUUCAUGUGCCUUCUAGAGGUGGUAAAGGCUGCAGAAGUCCAGGAUAGGCUACCCAUUCUAGUUUAGCUUGAUUACAUAUAACACACUUAUUCACGUUCUUUUUAACUAGAGUUUUCAUGGAAGGCCAAUAGAACAUAGUUCUCAGUCUUUCAUAAGAAUUUUAUAUGCCAGCAUGCCCUCCAAUAUACAAAUAAUGUGCAGCAUUAACCAUUCUUUCCAUUAAAUUCUCUUCCCAAUCACUAUCCUAUGCUUAUACCUUGAUACGCCUUCUGUGAAUAUAUAGUCUAACCAAUUAUGAUUAUUCAACAUCUUGUCAGACAUAAUCCUCUACAAUUAUUGAUCAUUUCCAUAAGAUUCUUUGACCUCUUCAUACCAUGCUGGUAUUAGUGCUGAGAUUGCCCUUAGAAUUCUAGAAUCCUUGUCAACCUCCCCAUCCAUAGCUUAUAAUUUUUUUUCCUCCAAUAGAUAUGGAUAAAACAUCAGCCACAACAUUCUCUUUUCCUUUUCUAAACAGAAUUUGAUACCUCAACCUCAGUAAUUUAGUCAGCCCUUUCUUUUGCAACUGAAUAUAGAUUUUCUAUUCCAUCAAAUAUUUUAAACUCUCAUGGUUAGUUUAGAUGAUGAACUGAUCAUUUUCCAAAUAAUCCAUCCAUUUGUCCACAGCCAUCAAUAUUGCGCCAUUUUUUGCUAAAAAAGGCUAGUGGUCAUCCUUUCUUGAUGAGGAUUGCUCCAAGUCCAAUUAAGCAUGCAUCAAUUUCCAACACAAAUGCAUAUUUAAAAUUUGGUAGUGUCAAAAUAGGAGUCUUGCACAAUAUUUCUUAUAAAAAUUCUUGUUCUACCGUAUCCGUUGCUUUUGAAUAUCAACCUUAAUUCCUUGCAAUUCCUGAUGAAUUUCUUGUAUUUUUUCAUCAGUUAUUCGACUAUGUCCUUCCAAUGCUCUUACUUUGUUGUUUUCCACCGUUGUCUACUAUUAAAUGAUGAAAUAAUGUAUUUAAGAAUGGAGGUUGAAGAAUAAAAAAGAAAGAAAUAAGGAGAGAGAAAACUAUAAAGCUACAGAAAUAAUGACAAUCUUUUAUUACUUGAUCAUCAUGUUUCUUACAAUUCUUCCUUUAUACAAUUCCAUUUCAACUAACUACCCAUUAACUAAAAAAACUAAUUGUCAACUAACUUCCCAGAUGACUAUAACUACAUAACUAACUUACAAUCACGUGUGAAAAUCAGAAAUCCAAAUAAAAAGUUCUUGGUAAAUGGUAAGGGCAUUUUUUGUUGCACUAUUUAUAUAUCUAUACUGAAGGUAUACAUUGAAGCUCUUGGUGGUUGGCUAUCCAAGUUUUCUUCUCCAAAAGUUAAAUCUUACUUUAGUGGCAACUCUUUAAUCUUCCUUAUAGAAUAAAUCGACCACUAUUGCUAGUAAUUGUCAUGACUGGUUAGUGUCGUGAUGUGCACGACGUCAAAUGAUGGGUUUUUCUGCUAGAUUGAAGGGUUUUAGGAUUAAUUAUAAAAUUAUGAUUUUCAAGGAGUCGCCACCUUGUAUCAUGGUCACUAGAAAACUUAAUGGUCUGCGAGAGUUUGGGUAAAGGGACUAAUUGUGCAAGGGAAAAACAUAUUACCCCCAGUGAACCAUACCUAUGGUAAGUUGCAUUAUUGAUUGGUCCUUUUGCUAGGUCGUGUUUAUAUUCGUUUGUAUUUUCUAAGAUUCAAGGAAAAUCUCUUUUCGUGAGGAAGUCUGUGUCUUAUCGAGUUAAAUCUUAAAUGUUCUAAGGCCCAAAUCUUAGCAUCACAUUUAUUUUCUAAUUUGUAUCCUUAAUAACUGAAGAUAUACUUUACAGUGUAAUUUUAUACUCUCAAAUAAUAAAGUCUAUAGCUAAUUCCUAAUAUUUAUUUUUUUAAUUCAUUUAAUUUAAUACCGAGUGUAUGCAUUACGUUGUAAAAUUCAUACCCUGAAUAUUAAUUAAACAAAUUAAUUUUAGUGAUAUUUUUGAAAUUUUGGUCAAAUCCUAAUAGAUAAUCAUAAUCUGGUUAUGAUAUCCAUUUUUUAUUUUUAAAACAUGAUAAAAAUGCAAUUUUUUUAAUAAAAUAUGCAUGGAAAUGUUUUUGAAUUUGGUUGUAUACACACAAAUAAAAAAACAUAUAUUUUUUUAAAUAAUGAAUUUUGGAUUUCUUUUUUGAGUUAAAAUGAAAACAUGAUUUUUUUAAGAGAUACUUGGCCAUACUAAAAAAAACAAAUUGAUAAUUUUUGUCCUAACAGCUCAAUCAAUCCUAAAUCAUCAUCGAACAUUCCCAAAACCAUAUGCACAAUGAAUAUUUUAUCCCAGAAACUAACAAUUUAUCAAAUAAAUGGUUUGGGGUGGAAUCGACCUUCCAAGGUUGUUGUGGUUGUCUAGGAACCAUUGGAAACCUUCCAAGGCUGCUAGGUAUUCUUGGCAGCGCGUGGAACCACGCACCACCACUGCCAAAACAUGGAAACAUGCGCUGUUUCUGGUAAAGGAGGAGCACCUAGUGAAUUUAAAACUCCUUUAUCUCCUCUUUGAUUCCUCACUAACGGUGCAACAAACAGACACCUGUAGACGGAGCUCCGCUCUAUUAAAGUUUCAGUCUUCUUCUUGUUUUUCAGUCCAGAUCUGUCCCUUCUCUCUAUUGCUGUGUUUUAAUGAUGAUACUAGCGGGAGAUAAUUUUAAAAUGUUUGAAACUACUAUAUACCCUCUUUGACACCCCACUAGCAUAUCCACAAACAGAUCUCUGUAAAGGAAGCUCUGCUACGUUGAAGUUCAAUGUAUGCUCUUGUUUUUCAGCCUAGGUAUGUCUUUUCUCCCCUACUAAUGCAUUUUAGUGAUGCUACUAGUAGGAGAAAGUUUUACAACGUCUGAAACUACUACAUCCUUUCUUAGAUUCCCCACUAGUAGUGUCAUAAAUAGAUCUCUGUAGAGUAGUGUCAUAAAUAGAUCUUUGUAGAGGGAAUUCUGCUAUGUUGAAUUUUGAUGUCUACUCUUAUUUUUUCUUCACAGUUGGUUGCUACUUCCACUGCUUGUAAGGGCUGUUUUGAGAUGAUUUUAGGGUUGUCUUGGGGUGACUUGGAAAUGGAAUAUUCUGGUAUGGAAAAUGGUUGCUUAAAUGGUGUUUUAGUGGUUAAGGCUUUAUAUGAUUUGGGGUCUGUUUUAAGGUGUUUUGAUUGGAGUUUUCAUGUCUGGGAGGUCUGUUAAGGGAGUGUUCAUCUCUGUCCAGGCUGCUUGGGUUAAGGUUUUGUGUUGCUUUUAUAGGAUCAAUGGGGAGGCUCUGGGACUUAUGAAUUAAUGAAAUAUCGACCCUUAAUGUUGGAGAAUAUGUCUCAUUCUGAAGCUAAGGAUAAAUGUUUGUCCUGCUGUGCAACUCAAAAAAGGAGGACCGAGGCUAUUUUUGCAGUCAAGACAGUGUUGGGUCUGUUUUUGAGAGAGAAUCUGGAGUUGUUUAUAGUGACUUUAAAGCUGGAAUUUUGGCUAAGAGUGAAGUACAAAUAAUACCAGGGUAUAAGUUGACAUAAACUUUGUCUGGUAUGGUGUGUGAGGACAGUAAGAUUUACACAGAACAGGAAUAGAGUUGAAGAAAAGCAGAGAGUGAUUCUGUUAAAUAGAGAAGAAGAAGAAGAACAACUUUAGCACUAAUUCUUUUAUUAAUUGAUUACAGUUCUCUUAUCUGACAUAUGUUUAUAUAUGUUAUCGUAGAAAGGUUAUCUAUUCUCUCUUUAUUUGCACUGAAACAAUGCUAACUAAUUCUCUUAACCGACAAACAAUACUAACAGCAUUCUAACAAUAUCAUUCUCUAAUCUUUUGACACUUUGGAGGAUUAGAGUCUUUGAUAUCUUUACAUGGUGAAGGAGUGGGAUAAAAAUUAGAGCUGAAAAGCGAGAACUCGAUCAUCUUUUUCUCUUGUUUUAAUAGGAAGAAAACAAUGAAUAGUGAAAUUAUAUUAUUUUUUUAAUUUGGUCCCUAAGCCUUUAGAACUUUCCAGUGGAACUCCCAAUCAGCCCUAAUUUUUUAGAUUCCUUACAAUUCCACCCUUGACCUUAUUUGAUUGAACCCUUAAAUUUAUGCUCUUUUUAUAAAGUGAUCCUUGAUUUUGAAACUCUUCAAUUUUACCCUCAAUUGACCUUCAAACUUCUAAUUUCUUGCAAUUUUAUCCCUGAUCUCAUCCAAUUAAGCUUGGAAAAAUUAAACUAUCUCUAAUACAAUUUUAAAGUGAAUUUUUGUGUUUCCAAUACAGGAGUCGGUUCUUGUUCGCAAUAACAUCGUUAAUCUUCCGAGCUUCCUUCCUGGGGCUGCUCUUCCCUACAUAGAGCAUUUCUAACUGUAUUCUGGCAUCUUUCGCAACUGCUUUUGCAGUCGCAGUGAAUUUACGGAUCCACUCGAUAUCCUCCCUACCAUACAAGCAUAUGAACUUCCCUUGCUCUAUCUGCAUUAGGAAUUAAUUAGUUGAAAACUUCAUGAGUAAUGUGUGUAUGAGAUUCCUAUGCACCUUUCAGCUUGUUGUUUAGUUUAUAAACCCGUUUCAAGUUUGGAAAUUUGAAUUCCUCUGCUGUCAAAUGUAUGCAUUAGAUGAUGUCGAUAGAGAAUUGAGAUGAAGAGUGUUGGGGUUGACUACUUUCCCUUGUGGGUCCAAGACCUCUCCAGGCUAUCCCUAUCGAAGUGUGAACUUACUCUGCAUUCGGCAAGGCUACCAUGGCCAUUUGGAGAGCUACAAACCUGCACAAGGAUGUAUAUUUAACCAUAAUAAUCGUUAGAAAAUGUUGGGUGGAAUUGAUAUUGUUAAUGUCAUCUAUCCCUUUUACAAUUGUCAAUGGCAUUGAUUAGGUAAAUUCUUCCGUGCCUUGUCAAAAUAAGACAUUGAAAAUUGACGAAAAUCGUGGAACAUAUGGCUACUUUUCAUGAAUAUCACGUGGCUUGGAUUGUCGAUGAAGACCAGCAGGAAGCAACAAGGUAGAAGGACUCAGCAUUUGAGGCCAACUUCCACUCUUCCAUUAAACUUGUGGGCACAAAUCAGCAACAGGAACAUGAUAUUGUCAGAGUUCUAAUCAGAUUGAUAGAGUUCCUUUACUGUUUUAAGAAAAAUAGGAAAACAGGAAGUGGGCCAAGAGGAUACCUGCUUUGCUUAGGCCUUAGGACUUGCCUUGUGUUAACAGUCGGCAAAGGACACCAUUCACGUUCUUAACUGUUGUUGUCGUUGAUAUCCUGCCAACAGCAAUCAUCUUUAUUUUUAGAUUUAAUUCAUUAUUUAUAAUGACUAAUAAAAAAGUGGAAGUUGCUUUAAACUUGGGCUUGAUUCAUUAAGAAUUAUAGCCCAUUAUUUUAUCUACAAUGAUGAGAAUUAAUUUUGAUUAUUAUCAAAAUUAGUUUUUCAAUUUUUUAUCUUCAAAAAUUCAUUAUAAAAAUAGAGGUGAAGGAAAAGUCUUGAACAAGUUCUUUUUUUUAAUUUUUACAUUUUUUUUCAUCUUAUUUUUAGUGUUUUUCUUCUUUUUUCAUGCUUUGGAUAUCAUCCCAAAUCUACACCUAACGUUUACUUUGUUGAGAUAUAAUUGAGUCAUUUUACUUUUAUUAAAAGAUAUUAUUUAAAAGUGCAUCUAAAUUAAAGUGAUGUUAUUGAAAUCUUAGAAGACAUAUUGUAAAUAUUUUAGUUCUAUAGAGUGAGUAUCAAUUAAUUUUAAAGACAAAUAAUUCAUCUUUAACAACAACAAAAAUUUUAUUAUUUUAAAAUGCUUCAAUAAGUAAAAAAAAAUUUAUGUUUAAUUUAAAAAUAAAUAUUUUUAUUAUUGGAAUGCAUAUAAGGACUUUAAUUUGAUAUUAAUUAUAAAUUUGAAUAUAUAUUUAGUAUGCAUACUAAAAUUUUAUUAUUAUAUUUCUGUUGAAAUUUAUCAUAAAUUUUUAUUUUAUAUAAUUAUGAUUUUAAACUUGUAUAAAUUCUGGGUUUUUUUUAAAUGUUUUGAAUUCCCUUUUAAUACAUUUAAAAAUUUUAAAAACAAUUAGAAAAGGAGAGACUUGACUCUGUUGAAAAAAUAAAAGAAAAGAGAAGGGACAGAUUUUUCCGGGUUCUGCUUGUCAAUUAAUUGGGGUAAUGUGCAAGUUCACCCCCGACAGCCUUUUCUGGAAAACAAAUUGAUUCGUUUGGGUGGUACACGGUGUGUGUGCAUGAAAGAAAGCAUCUCUGAUAUGAAAGUGUUUUUUAAGUAUCAUAAUUUUUUUAAUUAAAAAACAAAACGAUAUUCUUUAUGAUUAAUCAAAUAACAUUAAAAAAAAUAAAUGAAAGCCAUGCUAAGCUAGAUUUAAGAUUUCAAGUUAAUUUCUAACUCAAUAAAAUGAAGUGACUAUGCUAUAAAUAUGUUUUCAAGCAUCAUAAUUCUUUUUAGUUGACAAAUAAAAAAAUAUUGCUUAUGCUUGAUAAAAUAAAUUAAAAAUAAAUAAAAAAGGUGAUAAAGCUAUUUUCUUUAGUAAAAACAAAAGAUAAAUGUAAAUAUAAAUAUAAAUGUUUUAUUUUACAUGUUUUGAUUUAUUUUAUGUUAGAGGCUAAUUCAUGUUGUUAAUAAAAGAAAACAGAUUUUGAUUUUAUAAUUACGAUAUUAAAAUAUAACUCAUUUAUAUAAAAUAUAAGAGGAAAAAAAUUAGAAAUAAAAUAUAAUAAUUUCUUUAAAGCAUUAUGAAAUUAAAAAAAAUCAUUUUAAAAUAUCAGUAACUAUUAAAAAAAAGAGUUAAGAAAAACAAUUUAAAAAAUAAAAGAGAGGGUAUUAAUCAAUAUUUAAGUAGAAAAAAUUAAUGAAAAGAAAAGGAAAAGAAAGAGAGGCAGCCCCACGCACAUGACUGACCAAUAAAGAGCCCAAACACAUCUACGCCUGGAAGGCCAAGCUUGCUGAUACAGGCGGUAGCACGAUAAGAAUAGCAGCAAGCACCAAAAAAGAGAGUUAGCUGAAGUAGGGUUAAAACAAAAAGAACCAUAAAAUCUUAUUUUUAUUUCCAAAAUAUUAAUCUGAUAAGUUCUUUCCUCCAUUAUAAAAGGUUUGCAAGUCUUUACAUAAGCCUAAAACUGCAAUAAAAAGGUAGAAAGAAUCAGAAUCUUAAUCAUCUUUUCCCAACCCCUCGUCUUCUUCAUCUUUUCUUAAUCAUUGAUUCUCAACUUUUAUUAUAUCUUACAUGUCCUCUUUAAUUGUUCCCAUCAAGGAGAAGCUCGAUCCUUCAAUGUAAUCACAAUUAAUUUUAUUCACAUCUGUUCGGAACCUCUUUGUAUUAAAAAAAAUUGUUCCAUCUCAUUCAAUAAAUUUAUGAACUCUACUGCUUAUAAAGUUCUAUCAAAUUCAGAGAUUUUAAUAUAAAUAUUCAGAAAUCUCUAGUUCCUUUCAAGAUCAAAAGGUUGUUUCCUAUACUCUUGCAAUUGGAAUGGGUUUAUGAUACUACAUAAGGAUUCAUGGUCACUUUCUUCAUGUCCUUGUUUCUAUAUGUCUCUUUGUUUUAACUAACAAGUUAAUUCUAAAAUCUAUCUCUACAUGUCUUCUAUCAUGAGCUUCUAAACUUCUCCCGAGAAGAACCUUUUAAUCCCUUCCUAUCAGACCAUGUCUCACUCUUCGUCGUCUUCCCAUUAUGGUUGUUUAGCAGCAUAUAUUAAGCAAAAAUGACCUAAGAUUGCAACAUAUAGCAAACAAUAACCUAGAAUCAUUGGGCUAUAAUACCAACUAAUGCAGGCAAAAGCACGACAAGGAUAACAACAAGCAUAUAAAAUAGAAAAUUGGUUGAAAUAGGGUUAAAACACAAAUAACCCUAAAAUCCUUUUUUUAUAUUUCUAAAAUAUUAAUUUGAUGGUUUAUGCCUCUUUAGGAGGCUUACAUGUCUUUAUACUGGCCAAAAACUGACCUUAAUAAGGUAGAGAAAAUCAAAAUCCUGAAAUAAAAAAAUAAAGAUAGCUAAUAAAUAUAACAUUUAGAAAAAAAAUAGCAAAACUGAAUAAAAACAAAAUCUUUAAAGCCUAAUUUGAGGAAAAUUGUGUAGUGGAUGAACCGAUAAAAAUUUGAGCAUGAUCCAAUAGUAGGAUCAAAAGAUAUGAUCUCUUUUAGCCACUAUACCAGUAUGGCAUGACCAAACCUCCUCUUGAGCCACUGAUCUUUAAAAGCAUUUGUUAAGCCAUACAUAUAGUUUGUUUAUGAAAAAUACCUACCUAGUUAUGACAAGUCUCCAUAAGACUACUCAGAACCCUUAGUUUUUGCUAGUCCAGCUACAUCUCCCAUGUUUGGAAUAUUUGUUUUGGAGUUUUCCACUUUACUUUUUUCUUUCUUUCUAAACAAGCGACUGGUUAUCUACUGGACUGUUUUCCAAUCACCUUUGGUCAUCACAAAAACAUGGUUCGAGUUUUUUACCCAUCCAAACCUAUUUUCCUCCUCAUUUUCACUUGAAAACACUAUAAAAGUUUAAUAAACUCAUUAGAACCCCAAAAACUCUCCAAUCAGUUCAAAAAAGUAAAAAUCAACUUAAUAAAAAAGAAUUAAUAGACUCUUUUUUUGGAAUGGUUUUAGAAAAACAUUACUUUCAUUAAACUUUUCUCGAUAAUAUGAACUCAGCCUUUUUAGUAGCCAAAAUAUUUUUAACCACGCACUUUCUCUCUCCUAGAUUUUUUUUUAUAACCUUUUCUCUUCUCUCUCUAUAUCCAUGAACCAAAACAUGAAAAAAAAAAUGAAGUUUGGCAUCGAAACAUGAAUCACAAAAAUAAUAGGGAUAAGAAGAUAAAAAAAAACUUCAGGGAUUAAAUUGAAAGUUUUCAUGCAAAGAUCUAAAUGGGGCAUGUCUUAUUGUUCUUUGUCAAAUGUUAUCUUUUUUUUAAUUCCUAUCUAAAACCUGGAAUAAAAUGUGAUUUUACAAAACCAACAACCAACAAAUCUUCGAAUACUGGAGAACAAAAAAAAUGUAAAAAAAAUGGUAACAUAACCUAUGAGGAUUGAAUUGUAAGUUUCAAAAGCUUGAUCAACAAAAAAAAAACUCGAUUGUUCAAAUGAACAGGCGAGUCCACAAUGCAUUGCAUUGUGAGGUGUGCUAAUACACACACACUCUUCUUUCCCUCAAUUGGCUUUGGAACAUUGAAAUGAUAUGCUUCAAUUUUCUACCAAUAAUUCACUUUGUAUGGACAAUCUAUUCGAGGAUUAAUCGUAUUAUUUGGACUAAUUACUCUUAAUUAAUGUGUUCUGCGAUGUUUUUUUCCUGAUUUGUCUCUCUAUUAAAAAAUAAUUAUUUCCAUAAAGCCUUCGGCCUAGUCUUUUGGGAUUACCUAGAAGAUAUCAUGGGUUAUAUAGGGUUUGGCAGAAAAUGGAGAAGCAUGAUUUAUGAACGUCUUUCUUCAUCCAAACUCUCUGUUCUCAUCAAUGGAUCUCCUUCAAAAGAAUUCCUUGUUCGGCGAGGGUUGCGUCAAGGAGAUCCGAUUUCCCCCUUUCUGUUUGACAUAGUUGCUUAGGGCCUCUCGGUCCUUUUUCAAAAGGCAUCUAGGGGGAACAUUCUCAAAGGGUUGCAGUUCGUAUCAGAAAUUUUCCUCAUCCACUUGUAAUAUGCAGAUGACACGCUAAUAUUCAUCCCGGCAGAUAUUGAUCAGUUAGUUCAAGUCAAAAGAAUUCUCAGAUUGUUUGCUCUGAGUUCAGGCUUAUCAAUGUCGUUGAUCACUUGUGCUUGUGUUUGGGUACGUCUAUUUUUUGCAGAUCAGACUCCCUUCCAAGCAAAUAUCUCUGCAUGCCACUAAGAGCCAAUCUAUCUCGUAUAUCCACAUGGAAGCCAGUGAUAGAGAAGUUUUGUAAAAGGCUUCAUGUGUGGAAAGAGAGAUUAUUAAGCAUGGUUGGACGUCUUUGUCUCAUUAAAAGUGUCCUUAAGUCCCUGCCUAUAUAUUUUAUGUUUGUAUUCAAGAUGCUGAAAAGGGUAGGCAGGCUUUUUUUAUCCAUCCAAAGACGUUUCUUGUGGUGCGGAUGUACCAAGCAGAGAUCUUUCUGCAAGAUCCAAUGGAGACUAGUGAUGCGCAAUAAGAAACAAGGAGGCCUCGGUGUAGGCUCUUUUAUAUCAAAAAACAGAGUCCUGCAGCUAAAAUGGAUUUGGAGACUCUCUUCCCUAGGUAUAAGUUUAUGAAAAAUGAUUAUCUCUUUGAUGUACAAUCCAGCUUAUAAGAAUGGGAUCUUGAUUUUCUGCAACUAACCCUCCAAGAUCUGGAAGGAUAUCAUGUCCAUUGUUCAAACCGAUGUUCUCCACGUCUUCAUGAAUCAUUGCAAAUUCAUGGUGGGGAAUGGCAGUUUAACAUCCUUUUGGUUAGACAACUAGAUUAGUAACUACCCUCUUAAAACAACCUUCCCCAGGCUUUAUCUUUUGCUUCCUCUAAAUCUGCUUUGGUGGCUGACAUGGGUAGAUAAAGCAAUAGAAUCUGGCUCUAGUCCCUGCAAUGGCGCAAACCUCUAUUUCAUUUUGAACAAGAAUAAUUAUCACUUCUAUCAUCCUUGCUGGAUUCCAAACCUUUGUUCUACCGUAAGCUGGAUAAGAAAAUCCGGACUCUCAACAACGAUGGCCUCUUCAGUGUAAAAUCUUACUCCAAAAUGAUGGACUAGCUGCUCUACGGUGGUGCCAAACCAUUCCAAUCUUCUGUUUAGAUAAAGUUAACCCCACUAAAAAUACAACUUUUCCUUUAGCUCCUUGUCUAAGACAAAGUAACCACAAGAGAUUUUCUAUUUCAGCAUGACUACCUCACCUUUCAGAAAUCAAGAUGCGCUUUUCGCAAUAAAAGCAUGAAUCUCCUAGUCACCUCUUCAUUCAUUUACCACUUCACUUGGAAUAUUCCAACCAUAAAUUAAAAAAAAAUCAAUCAAGCUGGAGAAGUUUUUUAUUAACUAAGAGAGUUGAAAUAACAUUUGAUCAAGUACCUAAGAGAAAAUAAUGGAUGAAUAAAUUUUAAACAUGCGUGGAUAAUUAAAAGAGACAGUUUUAUUCAAAACGAAAAAUCAUAUGAUAUCAUAGAAGUUUAGUUUAUUUUUUUAAUAAUGGUAAAUGUUUUCUUAAAAACGUGAAGAACAUUUAUACUGAUGCAGAAACGUGAAGAGCAUGUAUAUUGAUAUGCAUGCCUCUGCCUGCAUUGGAGGCGGAUUCCAUUGCUAAUUGUUUCCCUAAGGAAGGGUAGACGUGUCAUUUCAUCCAAGGAUCCGGUCGAUAUUAGUGAUAGUACAUAUUCAAUAUUGAUCGAUGAUUUCACAGCUUGGUCUGGUAAUUAUUUUUUGUCCAGAGAAGUUCAUUAUCUCAUGUUAUGUUCACAUGGUUUCAAGCUUAAAAUUUGUUUUGGUUCACGUGCUACAUCCUAUUUAUUUCUGAUGUCAAAAAAUUAAUUUAAUUAAAAAUUAAGAAUCAAAUUUAAUUUAAAAGAAAAAAAUAGAAUGAAUUUUUUCAAAAACUAUAAUGAAAACGUGCUUUUUUUAAUGAAAAGUAUUAUGUUUAAAAUAAAAAUUUAUUAUGAUUGUGAAAGCUAGUUUGAUUUUAAAAAAAUUGAAUAUAUUAUUUUUACUACCUAUAUGAAAAAGAUUUAAGAACAAUAAAUCUAAGAAAAUAAAAAAAAUAAAAAAAAAUAAUUAUUUUAUCCUUAUUAAAUAUCAACGAGUAAAUUAUUUUAAAAAUAUUUCAUAUAGGAUAAUACAUAAUUAUUUAUAAAGCAAUUGACAAUAUCAUCAUAGAAAAAACCCUAAUCUUCUUUAAAACAAUGACAAAAUUGGAUAACCAUUUAAAUGUUAUAUUAAUAAAUUGAUUUAAAGAGAUUUUUUUAUUAAAAAUAGAAAAAAAUAAAAUACAUUAUUCUUAUUAUUAUUAUUAUGAUUAUUAGUGUUAUUCUUAUUCUUAAUAUUGUUAUUAAUUUUAUUAUUAUUAAAUUUGAAAAAAAAAAUAUUACUAUUGAAAAAAAAACCAUAAUUUUAAUAAGAACUUGAGUCAUGCAAAUUUAAUAUUAUUAUUAUUAUUAUUAUUAUUAUUAUUAUUAUUAUUAUUAGGGGAACCAGACCUCAGAAACUAGAGUCUCUGGCUGGGGCACCAGACCCAAGUUUAUAAUCAUUAGUAUUAUUCUUAUUAUUCUUAUUGUUAUUAUUAUUGUUAUCAUUAUCAUUAUCAUUAAUAAUAUUUUUUAAAAAAAUAUUAUUAUUAUUGAAGAAAAACCAUAAAUUUGAUUUCAAUAAAUAAAAAAUUAUAAAAACUUGAGUCAGACAAGUUUAAUAUUAUUAUUAAUAUUAUAAAUAUUAUUAUUUAUAUUAUAAAUAUUACUAUUGGUAUUAUAAUUAAUAUUAUAAAUAUUACUCUUGGAUAAGACGUUGCAGCCAAACUCAAGGCUCUUAGGUUUAGCUUUGCAAAUAGACUUAACGCUCUUGAAUAUUAAUGUUCUUUUAUAUUUUUUAUGGUAAAAAAAAUUAACCCGCUGUGUAGCGCAGGUCACCCACACUAGUGGAUUUCUAUAAGAGGUCAAACUCACACGCUAUUAUUUGUCCAAUAUUUUUUUGACUUUUCAACUACCUCUGAAUGGUUGAAAAGUCGUUGUAUAAAUUUUUUGAAUUUUAAAAUUUUAAUUUUGAAUUUAUAUUUACCUCAAAAACAUCCUAAAGUUUUUAAUAAAUCCAUUUCAAACUCAAAAUAAAAAAACCUAUAUAUGCAUGCCUCUAGCACAUUGUAGAGAGUAGAUAAAGAGAGGCCAUAAGAAAAUAUCAACCAAUGGAGUACCUUUUUUUUGUGCUACUAAUUUCUUUUACUUGGGCAUGUCUACACGUGCCCAUCGCAUCCAUUCUACUUCGCCGGAAGUCCGGUUGCACCGUCCUCCCACCUGGCCCUCGCCAAUUGCCGAUAAUUGGAAACAUAUUAGCCCUCGGUGACAAGCCCCACCGAACACUUGCUAACCUCUCACAAACUUAUGGACCUUUAAUGACCCUCAAGCUUGGUAGGAUAACCACAAUAGUCAUCUCCUCUCCGAAUAUUGCCAAAGAAGCAUUACAGAAACAUGACCAAGCCUUGU